GGGGUAACAGGGAUUGCUUGCAAUCCGCUGACGACCGGCGCACGGGUGCGUAACGCGUAUGCAACCUACCUUUUACAAGGGGAUAGCCCAGAGAAAUUUGGAAUAAUACCCUAUACGAUCAUUAAUUGGCAUCAAUUAAUGAAGAAAACUCCGGUGGUAAAAGAUGGGCAUGCGUCCUAUUAGUUAGUUGGUAAGGUAACGGCUUACCAAGACUUCGAUAGGUAGGGGUCCUGAGAGGGAGAUCCCCCACACUGGUACUGAGACACGGACCAGACUCCUACGGGAGGCAGCAGUGAGGAAUAUUGGACAAUGGAGGCAACUCUGAUCCAGCCAUGCCGCGUGCAGGAAGACGGCCCUACGGGUUGUAAACUGCUUUUAUACAGGAAGAACUAUAUCUACGUGUAGAUAUUUGACGGUACUGUACGAAUAAGGAUCGG
This 437-nucleotide ribosomal RNA is filed under the name uncultured Bacteroidota bacterium. RNAcentral describes it as "bacterial SSU rRNA". It matches the Rfam family "Bacterial small subunit ribosomal RNA", at positions 66 to 496 of the family's 1533-position model. The record is from RNAcentral. Lineage: Bacteria; Pseudomonadati; Bacteroidota.